GCUUUUAACGGACGCUUCGGUUGAAGUUAAGAGUGGAAAGCGGCGGACGGGUGAGUAACGCGUAGGCAACCUGCCCCUUGCAGAGGGAUAGCCUCGGGAAACCGGGAUUAAAACCACAUAAAUCCUUUUUAUCGCAUGAUAGAGAGGACAAAGAUUUAUCGGCAAGGGAUGGGCCUGCGUCUGAUUAGUUAGUUGGUGGGGUAACGGCCUACCAAGGCGACGAUCAGUAGCCGACCUGAGAGGGUGAACGGCCACAUUGGAACUGAGACACGGUCCAAACUCCUACGGGAGGCAGCAGUGGGGAAUCUUGCACAAUGGGCGAAAGCCUGAUGCAGCAACGCCGCGUGAGCGAAGAAGGCCUUUGGGUCGUAAAGCUCUGUCGGUAGGGAAGAAGGAAGUGACGGUACCUACCGAGGAAGCCCCGGCUAACUACGUGCCAGC
Molecule: ribosomal RNA, 441 nt
Filed under: Clostridiales bacterium
Lineage: Bacteria; Bacillati; Bacillota; Clostridia; Eubacteriales
Description: bacterial SSU rRNA
Rfam family: Bacterial small subunit ribosomal RNA
Source: RNAcentral